AGCAGCCGCGGUAAUUCCAGCUCCAAUAGCGUAUAUUAAAGUUGUUGCAGUUAAAAAGCUCGUAGUUGAAUUUCGGGACUAAUAUGUCGGUCGUACUUUGUACGUACUAGCAUUAUUGGUUUCUCCCUUCUGACGAACCACGAUGUCAUUAAUUUGGUGUCUUGGGAAAUCAGAACUGUUACUUUGAAAAAAUUAGAGUGUUUAAAGCAAGCUCGCGCUUGAAUACAUUAGCAUGGAAUAAUGAAAUAGGACGUUUGAUUCUAUUUUGUUGGUUUCUAGGAUCGACGUAGUGAUUAAUAGGGAUAGUUGGGGGCAUUAGUAUUCAAUUGUCAGAGGUGAAAUUCUUGGAUUUAUUGAAGACUAACUACUGCGAAAGCAUUUGCCAAGGAUGUUUUCAUUAAUCAAGAACGAAAGUUAGGGGAUCGAAGACGAUCAGAUACCGUCGUAGUCUUAACCAUAAACUAUGCCGACUAGGGAUCGGAUGAUGUUAAUUUUUAAUGACUCAUUCGGCGCCUUACGG
Molecule: ribosomal RNA, 520 nt
Filed under: uncultured Glomus
Lineage: Eukaryota; Fungi; Glomeromycota; Glomeromycetes; Glomerales; Glomeraceae
Description: SSU rRNA
Rfam family: Eukaryotic small subunit ribosomal RNA
Source: RNAcentral